This 257-nucleotide ribosomal RNA is filed under the name uncultured Pseudomonas sp. RNAcentral's name for it is "partial 16S ribosomal RNA". It matches the Rfam family "Bacterial small subunit ribosomal RNA", at positions 96 to 355 of the family's 1533-position model. The record is from RNAcentral. Lineage: Bacteria; Pseudomonadati; Pseudomonadota; Gammaproteobacteria; Pseudomonadales; Pseudomonadaceae.
CGGCGGACGGGUGAGUAAUGCCUAGGAAUCUGCCUGGUAGUGGGGGACAACGUUUCGAAAGGAACGCUAAUACCGCAUACGUCCUACGGGAGAAAGCAGGGGACCUUCGGGCCUUGCGCUAUCAGAUGAGCCUAGGUCGGAUUAGCUAGUUGGUGAGGUAAAGGCCCACCAAGGCGACGAUCCGUAGCUGGUCUGAGAGGAUGAUCAGCCACACUGGAACUGAGACACGGUCCAGACUCCUACGGGAGGCAGCAGCC